GGGCGAAGGUCUUUUAAGCCUGUUAUCUUUUUGUUAUACCUUUUUUUGGAUGUGAUGCAUAAGUAAAGGGCAAAUUAUAAGUGCAAAUUCUCAAACGUUCAAUAACAUUGGUAGCUACCAUGGAUAAAUGUACCUUAAAUAAAAUCGAAUUUAAAUUUUGACCAAAAUGGCUAAGGUUCAUGAACCUUGUUGCCAAUCUACGUCGUUUUUCACCUGAACAUUUUAAAGGACUUACGAAUCCUUUAAGCUUAACCUGUCAACGUUUAUGGACAACAUAUAAUCAACAAAUAAGAUCGGCGGAAAUAUGUCUCUUUGGCAUAAUAAAUAUAGUAUUUCAUAUAAAUAUAUAAUA
RNAcentral lists this small RNA (352 nucleotides) under Drosophila virilis. RNAcentral describes it as "GJ25898". The record is from RNAcentral. Lineage: Eukaryota; Metazoa; Arthropoda; Insecta; Diptera; Drosophilidae.